CAACUUUCAACAAUGGAUCUCUUGGCUCUGGCAUCGAUGAAGAACGCAGCGAAAUGCGAUAAGUAGUGUGAAUUGCAGAAUUCAGUGAAUCAUCGAAUCUUUGAACGCACAUUGCGCCCCAUGGUAUUCCGUGGGGCAUGCCUGUUCGAGCGUCAUCU
RNAcentral lists this ribosomal RNA (158 nucleotides) under uncultured Ascomycota. Its description in RNAcentral is "5.8S ribosomal RNA". It matches the Rfam family "5.8S ribosomal RNA". From Rfam's summary of the family: 5.8S ribosomal RNA (5.8S rRNA) is a component of the large subunit of the eukaryotic ribosome. It is transcribed by RNA polymerase I as part of the 45S precursor that also contains 18S and 28S rRNA. The record is from RNAcentral. RNAcentral also lists the same sequence under 1 other name. Lineage: Eukaryota; Fungi; Ascomycota.